Molecule: ribosomal RNA, 301 nt
Filed under: uncultured bacterium
Lineage: Bacteria
Description: partial 16S ribosomal RNA
Rfam family: Bacterial small subunit ribosomal RNA
Source: RNAcentral
CAGCCGCCGCGGGAAUACAGAGGAUGCAAGCGUUAUCCGGAAUGAUUGGGCGUAAAGCGUCUGUAGGUGGCUUUUCAAGUCCGCCGUCAAAUCCCAGGGCUCAACCCUGGACAGGCGGUGGAAACUACCAAGCUGGAGUACGGUAGGGGCAGAGGGAAUUUCUGGUGGAGCGGUGAAAUGCGUUGAGAUCGGGAAGAACACCAGCGGCGAAAGCACUCUGCUGGGCCGACACUGACACUGAGAGACGAAAGCUAGGGGAGCAAAUGGGAUUAGAUACCCCUGUAGUCCCUGUCUCUUAUAU